Molecule: small nuclear RNA, 103 nt
Organism: Apodemus sylvaticus (European woodmouse)
Lineage: Eukaryota; Metazoa; Chordata; Mammalia; Rodentia; Muridae
Source: RefSeq, a predicted model, not a curated record
GUGCUUGCUUGGGCAACACACAUACUAAAAUUGAAACUGCACAGAGAUUAGCAUGGACCCUGUGCAAAAAUGACAGGCAAAUCAUGACAUAGUCCUUUGUUUG